Molecule: long non-coding RNA, 3124 nt
Organism: Oncorhynchus tshawytscha (Chinook salmon)
Lineage: Eukaryota; Metazoa; Chordata; Actinopteri; Salmoniformes; Salmonidae
Source: Ensembl
AUCUAGAUGAUAUUGUGUUAUCUAGAUGGUAGUGUGUUACUUAUCUAGAUGAUAUUGUGUUACUUAUCUAGAUGAUAUUGUGUUACUUAUCUAGAUGGUAGUGUGUUACUUAUCUAGAUGGUAGUGUGUUACUUAUCUAGAUGAUAUUGUGUUACUUAUCUAGAUGAUAUUGUGUUACUUAUCUAGAUGAUAUUGUGUUACUUAUCUAGAUGAUAUUGUGUUACUUAUCUAGAUGAUAGUGUGUUUCUUAUCUAGAUGAUAGUGUGUUACUUAUCUAGAUGAUAGUGUGUUACUUAUCUAGAUGAUAUUGUGUUACUUAUCUAGAUGGUAGUGUGUUACUUAUCUAGAUGGUAGUGUGUUUCUUAUCUAGAUGGAGCCCAACUCUUCAGGGUAUAGAUUUGUGAGAAUGUUAAGGCAGGGAGAGAAAAAAAGGAAAACCGCUCACUGAAAGGUCAGAACACUUUUUUGUUUGUUUGUCCUACAACAUUUUUGAAGAAAUGUCUAGGAAACGUGACUGUGCCUUUGUAGACAAAAAGACUCAGAGAAACAGGCGGUGUUUUAUACAAGCUUUAUUACAACUUGGUUAACAGCUGUACAUGUCAGAGCGUAGGAAGCACAUUUUAUCAACAAGUUUCAAAUGGACAGGUAACUAUGACCACUAAUGUCCUCCUCCACUGUUUGUUAGUCCCAUACAGUGUGUACAUAUUAUACAAGCAGCAAUAUAAAACUUGGCAAAUGGAAAGGUUUUUUGCUACUUUAUUUUUUAAUGUAAAAUAAGUCUUUCCUAUGAAUAAAAAAUACAGCAACCAUAAAACCUGGCGAUUAAGUUCUGACUGAAAAGCCUCAGUUCUUUAAACUGUAUUUUCUCCUAGAGGUUUUUUUAGCCUCUAGGAAAACCAGAUUGAACGCUACGCUCACAAUUGUUUGAAACAUUCAGUCUGGUGUAACUAUGCUAGAGGUUUAUUGUCCUGUGUAGAACACUGGCCUGGUCCCAGAUCACUUGUCAAGACAGCACACACUGAUCUGGGACCAGGCCAGGAGACUAACCGAUCUGGGACCAGGCCAGGAGACUAACCGAUCUGGGACCAGGCCAGGAGACUAACUGAUCUGGGACCAUGCCAGGAGACCAACCGAUCUGGGACACAAGUAGUAACACGUUGCCCUACCAAUCAUAUCACCACAUGUCAGGAGACUAGUAUUUAACACAAGUAGAGACACGUUGCCCUACCAAUCAUAUCACCACAUGUCAGGAGACUAGUAUUUAACACAAGUAGUAACAGCCAUACAAAGUUCAUCAGUUACAUAAUAAUAUGGACACAUCCUUUUAUUAUAAACUGAAAAAAACACAGUAUCAGCAACAAGUCAAUAAGUCUAGUCUUACUCACACCGGUUUGGUUUUUACACUCGAGGCGAAAGCACUUUCAACAUGUUCAUGAUAUAACAUGAUAGGAAAGAUCCUCUUUGACUUCUACCCGUCUGUCCAUUGGUUAGUGGUCCAUUAGUGACGCAGCGGGUCUAGAGGCAUCGCUACAGACCCGGGUUCGAUCCCGGGCCCAGUGUCGUCCGGGCUAGGGGAAGGUUUGAACAGGGUAGGCCGUCAUUGUAAAUAAGAAUUGUUCUUGCUUAGUUCAAUAAAGGUUCAAUAAAAAAUGAAAACGUGUGUUUGUUCUCGUACUAAAAUGAAUGUUUUAUACUGGACAGGUGGAGGUAGAACAUCCCCAUUUCAGUCCGUUUUCUAACGUUUGGUGCCUAAUGAACAUGACCCGGGACAGGGCAGUCUUACUACGUGGGCCAUCUGCUAAUGAACCACGACCCGGGACAGGGCAGUCUUACUACGUGGGCCAUCUGCUAAUGAACCACGACCCGGGACAGGGCAGUCUUACUGCGUGAGCCAUCUGCUAAUGAACCACGACCCGGGACAGGGCAGUCUUACUGCGUGAGCCAUCUGCUAAUGAACUACGACCCGGGACAGGGCAGUCUUACUGCGUGGGCCAUCUGCUAAUGAACCACGACCCGGGACAGGGCAGUCUUACUGCGUCGGCCAUCUGCUAAUGAACCACGACCCGGGACAGGGCAGUCUUACUGCGUCCGCCAUCUGCUAAUGAACCACGACCCGGGACAGGGCAGUCUUACUGCGUCGGCCAUCUGCUAAUGAACCACGACCCGGGACAGGGCAGUCUUACUGCGUCCGCCAUCUGCUAAUGAACCACGACCCGGGACAGGGCAGUCUUACUGCGUCCGCCAUCUGCUAAUGAACCACGACCCGGGACAGGGCAGUCUUACUGCGUCGGCCAUCUUGCUGUAUUUUUUCAAAAAGGCUCUGCCAUGGCAUCCUAUCAACAAGCCUACUUGUUUUAUAAAAAGGUUAGAGAAAGGUUUUACACAUUUUAUACAAUGUAGGAAAUGUAUGAAUCUAAGUCAAUACUGCAUAUGUAUGCAUGAAUCUAAGUCAAUACUGCAUAUGUAAGGCGAAUAAAAACAGGAAUACAUAUCAAAGUCAUAAAGGCUAGAUAGAAGCAUGUGAUCUCUUCUACCAAUUUAAAGAGAGAGAAACACAUCGAGGUUAUUAUCAGUGAAAUAAAGAAGCAGAGCACUCCUUACAUAGAGAAGUCAUCAGAACACUUAAACGGAAAUACAUGGAAACUGAACAUCUAGACUGAGUGUAGAAAACAUUAAGAACACCUGCUCUUUCCGUGACAUAGAGCCCCCCAACUCAACUCUGGAACAGUUUGAAUCCAGGUCUGAUUUAGACAUGGGACACCAGGGCCUGAUUUAGACAUGGGACACCAGGGUCUGGUUUAGACAUGGGACACCAGGGCCUGAUUUUGACAUGGGACACCAGGGUCUGAUUUAGACAUGGGACACCAGGGUCUGAUUUAGACAUGGGACACCAGGGUCUGAUUUAGACAUGGGACACCAGGGCCUGAUUUAGACAUGGGACACCAGGGUCUGAUUUUGACAUGGGACACCAGGGCCUGAUUUAGACAUGGGACACCGGUGCCUGGUUUAGACAUGGGACACCAGGGUCUGGUUUAGACAUGGGACACCAGGGCCUGAUUUAGACAUGGGACACCGGGGCCUGGUUUAGACAUGGGACACCGGGGCCUGAUGGGACACCAGGGCC